This is a long non-coding RNA of Cynoglossus semilaevis (tongue sole), 1702 nucleotides long. RefSeq lists it as uncharacterized. NCBI's taxonomy places the organism in Eukaryota, Metazoa, Chordata, Actinopteri, Pleuronectiformes, Cynoglossidae. The transcript is spliced from 3 exons. The record is from RefSeq and is a predicted model, not a curated record.
UGUGGAUGGUGUAUUUUUUGCAACUUUCUUGCAGAUGAAGUUAUUGUUGAUGUCAAUUAUUUGUAAUAAUAAUUACAUCACGUCAUUCGGCAUUUUGUCCUGCCUCAUUUCUUUUGAAAACGUACUGAAACAAAAGCUUAAAACCGAAGCAGAAAUCCAUCAGAAAUGGUUGAUAUUAUGCACAAAGUCGACCAGAUGAACAAAGGUACGGCCGCUCCAUCUACACCGGGUGUUCUUUCUCUGAAACCCAAGGGCCACUUUGGUGAAAAUAGUCUGUGUGGAAAAACAGACAGAUCCUUGGCCCAGUUUGCACUGUACGAGCUGGACAUGUUCGUUUUCUUUGUUCAGAGGAAACACAUUCCUUUGUCCCACCUUUGACCCUGGAGAGAGAGAGAGAGAGAGAGAGAGAGAGAGAGGCUGCAGAAUGAAAUGAAUAAAUAAACAAAGAGAAACUUCAGUUUUCUUGUCAGCAGAUGAACUUUCCUUCACUUCAGAUUUGACGAGACCACGUUCUACACUGCAGUAACUGUGACGUCUCUCCUUUAAGGAGCUUCGCCGCCGUCUCUUGUUUGUUUUCAUGUCACCUCCCACUGAUGGCAUGUGCACCCUCACUUCCUGUCUGACAGGAUGCAGAACUGUGGCAGCUGGACGCUAAGAAUGGCGACAAAAGGAGGAGGGAGAAAGUGCAGAAGGUGAGAAAAGAGUUGAGAAGAUGACAGGAGGAGGUGAAGAGGGGCGCCGUGUGACUUAGAACAACACAGGAGUCGGCAGAGCCAUCAAUCAAUCCUGAUUUUUACAAGUCCGCUCAGUCCUCAGGGAAAGGCCCAAUCAGGCAAAACAUCUGUGCGUAAGCUGUGACAGGAGCAGUGAGUCAAGCAGGAACACCGGCAGAGAGCGGGGAAGGGAACAUCCUGGGUCACGGAGCCGAGUGCUGGGGGUUUCACAGCUCAUGCAUGAUCUGCCUGCCGGAGCCUCACUCUGCCCUGCUGCAGCAGGGGAUUUCCCAAAUGAUGCAGUACCAAGAUAUGUCACUACAAGGCGGUGUUGUAAAUCUGUGUUGACAACAUAUCAUUGACGUUUCACAACGUGUUAGAUGAGGAGCCACCGAGACACCCUGUAUGUCACUGAGGGUAAAUCCAUGUGAGUUAUGAAUGGAUUAAACUGUGAGUUAAUACAGACUAAUGUCAGGGUUCACUCUCUCUGCUGGUAGUUUCCCCUCUCGCCCACUGCCUGUUGCCUGUUGUGUGUGGGAACUGUCAGCAGAAACAGGUUGGCAUCACAGAGGAAUGGCCUUUUUUCUCCCCUGUGAUCUUUCUUGGCCUGUGGAGGGGAAAAGGAAAGGAAGAGAGAGAGAGAGAGAGAGAGAGACAUGGGUGAGCAGAGAGACUGGGGGAGAAGCCAGAGGGGGGCAAAGUGAUGAUGAAGAAAAUGAUGAUGAUGACGAUGAAGGAACCCGUCUGACAUGGGUGAGUCACCAGAGUGGAGGACACAGUGGAGUGGACAGACAUAACUGUUUACCAGUGUUAUUGUAACACGAGGUUUGAUCGCUGGACGCUGCCGUCUCACCUUGGUCUGACGGAGGGACGCACAGACAGAACGCAGACAUUUAACUGUUGAAGUUUUAUCAUUUUUCUUUGGUUUUGGUAAAGUUUUUUUCCCCAAAGUUUUCCAGCUUUUUUCUCAAACUAUAUCAUUUCAUUUA